AUUUGAAGGGGGCUGCUCCUAGUACGAGAGGACCGGAGUGGACGAACCUCUGGUGUACCGGUUGUGACGCCAGUCGCAUCGCCGGGUAGCUAUGUUCGGAAGAGAUAACCGCUGAAAGCAUCUAAGCGGGAAACUCGCCUUAAGAUGAGAUAUCCCUGGGGACUUGAUCCCCUUGAAGGGUCGUUCGAGACCAGGACGUUGAUAGGUCGGGUGUGUAAGCGCAGUAAUGCGUUCAGCUAACCGAUACUAAUUGCCCGUAAGGCUUGAUCCUAUAACA
Molecule: ribosomal RNA, 277 nt
Filed under: Burkholderia ubonensis
Lineage: Bacteria; Pseudomonadati; Pseudomonadota; Betaproteobacteria; Burkholderiales; Burkholderiaceae
Description: partial 23S ribosomal RNA
Rfam family: Bacterial large subunit ribosomal RNA
Source: RNAcentral